CCUACGGGGGGCAGCAGUAGGGAAUAGUGCUCAAUGGGGGAAACCCUGAAGCAGCAACGCCGCGUGGAGGAUGAAGGUUUUCGGAUGGUAAACUCCUUUUGGUAGAGAAGAGAAGGACGGUAGCUAACGAAUAAGCACCGGCUAACGCCGUGCCAGCAGCCGCGGUAAGACGGAGGGGGCAAGCGUUCCUCGGAAUCACGGGGCGUAAAGAGCGCGUAGGCGGGAUAGCAAGUCAGAUGGGAAAUCCUAUGGCUUAACCAUAGAACUGCAUUUGAAACUGUUAUUCUAGAGUAUGGGAGAGGUAGGUGGAAUUCUUGGUGUAGCGGUCACAUCCGU
Molecule: ribosomal RNA, 336 nt
Filed under: uncultured bacterium
Lineage: Bacteria
Description: partial 16S ribosomal RNA
Rfam family: Bacterial small subunit ribosomal RNA
Source: RNAcentral